This 387-nucleotide ribosomal RNA is filed under the name uncultured bacterium. RNAcentral describes it as "bacterial SSU rRNA". It matches the Rfam family "Bacterial small subunit ribosomal RNA", at positions 370 to 772 of the family's 1533-position model. The record is from RNAcentral.
AAUGGGCGAAAGCCUGAUGCAGCAACGCCGCGUGAGCGAUGAAGGCCUUCGGGUCGUAAAGCUCUGUCCUUGGGGAAGAAAAAAAUGACGGUACCCUUGGAGGAAGCCCCGGCUAACUACGUGCCAGCAGCCGCGGUAAUACGUAGGGGGCGAGCGUUAUCCGGAAUUAUUGGGCGUAAAGAGUGCGUAGGUGGUUACCUAAGCGCAGGGUUUAAGGCAAUGGCUCAACCAUUGUAUGCCUUGCGAACUGGGCUACUUGAGUGCAGGAGAGGAAAGCGGAAUUCCUAGUGUAGCGGUGAAAUGCGUAGAUAUUAGGAGGAACACCAGUGGCGAAGGCGGCUUUCUGGACUGUAACUGACACUGAGGCACGAAAGCGUGGGGAGCAAA